UGGGGAAUAUUGCGCAAUGGGGGAAACCCUGACGCAGCAACGCCGCGUGAAGGAUGAAGGCUUUCGGGUUGUAAACUUCUUUGAUCGGGGACGAAAAUGACGGUACCUCAAAAACAAGCCACGGCUAACUACGUGCCAGCAGCCGCGGUAAUACGUAGGUGGCGAGCGUUGUCCGGAAUUACUGGGUGUAAAGGGCGUGUAGGCGGGAAAGCAAGUCAGAUGUGAAAUACCGGGGCUUAACUCCGGGGCUGCAUCUGAAACUGUUUUUCUUGAGUGUCGGAGAGGAAAGUGGAAUUCCCAGUGUAGCGGUGAAAUGCGUAGAGAUUGGGAGGAACACCAGUGGCGAAGGCGGCUUUCUGGACGAUAACUGACGCUGAGGCGCGAAAGCGUGGGUAGCAAACAGG
This 404-nucleotide ribosomal RNA is filed under the name uncultured prokaryote. RNAcentral describes it as "bacterial SSU rRNA". It matches the Rfam family "Bacterial small subunit ribosomal RNA", at positions 355 to 776 of the family's 1533-position model. The record is from RNAcentral. RNAcentral also lists the same sequence under 1 other name.